GGGCCCGUAGCUCAGCCAGGCAGAGCGGCGGACGCCUCACCCGUAGGUCAGGGGUUCGAAUCCCCUCGGGCCCA
This 74-nucleotide transfer RNA is filed under the name Desulfurococcus amylolyticus 1221n. RNAcentral describes it as "tRNA-Arg". It matches the Rfam family "tRNA". From Rfam's summary of the family: Transfer RNA (tRNA) molecules are approximately 80 nucleotides in length. Their secondary structure includes four short double-helical elements and three loops (D, anti-codon, and T loops). Lineage: Archaea; Thermoproteati; Thermoproteota; Thermoprotei; Desulfurococcales; Desulfurococcaceae. The record is from RNAcentral.